UCCCGCUUAGCUCAGUUGGUAGAGCGCGUCACUAGUACAAUAGGCGGAUCGCCUGGGUAAUGACGAGGUCAGUCGUUCAAGUCGGCUAGUGGGAA
Non-coding RNA from Trametes coccinea BRFM310, 95 nucleotides. NCBI's taxonomy places the organism in Eukaryota, Fungi, Basidiomycota, Agaricomycetes, Polyporales, Polyporaceae. The record is from the annotation of a GenBank genome assembly.